ACGGUGAAAGCGGAGCUUGCUCUGCUGGAUCAGUGGCGAACGGGUGAGUAACACGUGAGCAAUCUGCCCCUGACUCUGGGAUAAGCGCUGGAAACGGCGUCUAAUACCGGAUACGAGCUGCGAAGGCAUCUUCAGCAGCUGGAAAGAAUUUCGGUCAGGGAUGAGCUCGCGGCCUAUCAGCUAGUUGGUGAGGUAAUGGCUCACCAAGGCGUCGACGGGUAGCCGGCCUGAGAGGGUGACCGGCCACACUGGGACUGAGACACGGCCCAGACUCCUACGGGAGGCAGCAGUGGGGAAUAUUGCACAAUGGGCGCAAGCCUGAUGCAGCAACGCCGCGUGAGGGACGACGGCCUUCGGGUUGUAAACCUCUUUUAGCAGGGAAGAAGCGAAAGUGACGGUACCUGCAGAAAAAGCGCCGGCUAACUACGUGCCAGCAGCCGCGGUAAUACGUAGGGCGCAAGCGUUAUCCGGAAUUAUUGGGCGUAAAGAGCUCGUAGGCGGUUUGUCGCGUCUGCUGUGAAAACCCGAGGCUCAACCUCGGGCCUGCAGUGGGUACGGGCAGACUAGAGUGCGGUAGGGGAGAUUGGAAUUCCUGGUGUAGCGGUGGAAUGCGCAGAUAUCAGGAGGAACACCGAUGGCGAAGGCAGAUCUCUGGGCCGUAACUGACGCUGANGAGCGAAAGGGUGGGGAGCAAACAGGCUUANAUACCCUGGUAGUCCACCCCGU
This 726-nucleotide ribosomal RNA is filed under the name Microbacterium sp. at4. Its description in RNAcentral is "bacterial SSU rRNA". It matches the Rfam family "Bacterial small subunit ribosomal RNA", at positions 66 to 803 of the family's 1533-position model. Lineage: Bacteria; Bacillati; Actinomycetota; Actinomycetes; Micrococcales; Microbacteriaceae. The record is from RNAcentral.